This 515-nucleotide non-coding RNA is filed under the name Tokyovirus A1. RNAcentral describes it as "Bacterial small subunit ribosomal RNA". It matches the Rfam family "Bacterial small subunit ribosomal RNA", at positions 9 to 418 of the family's 1533-position model. The record is from Rfam by way of RNAcentral. Lineage: Varidnaviria; Bamfordvirae; Nucleocytoviricota; Megaviricetes; Pimascovirales; Marseilleviridae.
GGGUUUUAUUCUGGCUCCGAGUGAACGCUGGUAACAUAUUUUAACACAUGCAAAUCGAACGAAAAGUAAAUUUACUUUAAGUGGUGACCUGGUGAGUAGUAUAGGAGAAUUGAAGUGUGGGUUAGGCCAAAAAGCCGGCCUCGUUUUUCACAUCGUUUAACCCCUUAAUAAUGCGAAAGAUUAAAACAGCAAGAUUCUUUUUUAAAAUUAAAUAUGGAAAUAGCAUCUCUAAAAACUUAUUUACCAAGCUUAAACCAGUAAUAGAAUAUUCAAGCAUCCCAUCAUUUCUACGCAUAAUUAAAAUAAAUAAAAAAUCUAAAUAAUGGUAGGGACAGGAUUCGAACCUGUGAAGCAUUGUAGCAAAAGGUUUACAGCCUUUUCCCUUUAACUUGAGAGAAUGAUCAGCCACAUUGGGACUGAAAACGGCCCAAGUCUUCUAAAAGGGCAGCAGUGGAGAAUAUUUGACAAUGGGCGAAAGCUUGAUCGAGUAAUGUUACGUGAUAUUUCUGGUAUUU